This 253-nucleotide ribosomal RNA is filed under the name uncultured bacterium. Its description in RNAcentral is "partial 16S ribosomal RNA". It matches the Rfam family "Bacterial small subunit ribosomal RNA", at positions 524 to 776 of the family's 1533-position model. The record is from RNAcentral.
UACGUAGGGUGCAAGCGUUGUCCGGAAUUAUUGGGCGUAAAGAGCUCGUAGGCGGUUUGUUGCGUCGGCUGUGAAAUCCCGAGGCUCAACCUCGGGUCUGCAGUCGAUACGAGCAAACUAGAGUGUUGCAGGGGAGACUGGAAUUCCUGGUGUAGCGGUGAAAUGCGCAGAUAUCAGGAAGAACACCUAUGGCGAAGGCGGUUCUCUGGGACGGUACUGACGCUGAGACGCGAAAGCGUGGGGAGCGAACAGG